GGGCGGAUAGCUCAGAUGGGAGAGCGCAGCCCUUACAAGGCUGAGGCCACAGGUUCGAAACCUGUUCCGCCCAUGU
RNAcentral lists this transfer RNA (76 nucleotides) under Thermodesulfovibrio yellowstonii DSM 11347. RNAcentral's name for it is "tRNA-Val". It matches the Rfam family "tRNA". From Rfam's summary of the family: Transfer RNA (tRNA) molecules are approximately 80 nucleotides in length. Their secondary structure includes four short double-helical elements and three loops (D, anti-codon, and T loops). The record is from RNAcentral. Lineage: Bacteria; Pseudomonadati; Nitrospirota; Thermodesulfovibrionia; Thermodesulfovibrionales; Thermodesulfovibrionaceae.